This 74-nucleotide small RNA is filed under the name Salmonella enterica subsp. enterica serovar Muenchen. RNAcentral describes it as "partial RtT sRNA". It matches the Rfam family "RtT RNA", at positions 58 to 130 of the family's 130-position model. From Rfam's summary of the family: This family represents a bacterial cis-regulatory element known as RtT RNA. The exact function of RtT is unknown although it is thought that it may be involved in changing the cellular response in relation to amino acid starvation. The record is from RNAcentral. Lineage: Bacteria; Pseudomonadati; Pseudomonadota; Gammaproteobacteria; Enterobacterales; Enterobacteriaceae. RNAcentral also lists the same sequence under 25 other names.
CGAGAAAGCGUUGCCGCAGGCAACGACCCGAAGGGCGAAGCGCGCAGCGCUGAGUCAUCCUUCCCCCACCACCA